GGUUGUGGCUCAGCCGUAGAGCGCUUGCCUAACACAUACGAGGCACUGGGUUCGAUUCUCAGCACCA
RNAcentral lists this transfer RNA (67 nucleotides) under Marmota monax (woodchuck). Its description in RNAcentral is "tRNA.Val". Lineage: Eukaryota; Metazoa; Chordata; Mammalia; Rodentia; Sciuridae. The record is from RNAcentral.